AUGCAAGGCAGUAAGAUAUUGGGAUGUGUUACUUUGCUACACAGGAUCAUGAAACUGUGAUCUUCGGGAAAGGUGUGUUCUUGCAGUAUGAUGGUGCAGAUUCCAGGACCCAGCAUCUCAUUCAGCACCUCAAGUCUAAGUCAGUCCAGCCAAGAGACUCUAUGACUCUGAACUACAAUACACACUGAGACCUGUGCAGGACAACAGUGUCUAUUGGUUCGGACAUGGCUCAGGAGAAUCCCAUCCAGGAAUCAUUUACACCCAUGGAUACAAGAGUGAUCAGCGUGAGAAGAUGCCUGAUGCUGGGUCUCCUACACAGAGCUGUGUCUACAACCUCUCUAAGAGGAACCUCAGCCUCUUUGAUGCCUGGACUUAAUACUGUCCUGCGGCCAUGUAGGAAAAUACUGUUUUGGAACAAGACCAAGCUGGACAUUGAAGAAUAUGCUUUUCCCCUGACUCUUACCGCUCUGGCACUGGUUGUGAUUGUGAUCAUUCUACUGUCAUGGGGAAUAUGCAAGGAAAGUAACAAAGGACCUAGAGGUAUAGAAAGACUCAUCAUUUGCAUCUGACAUGCAUAUUAAUAGCUACUAAUUAAUAUACUGUUAUUUUUCACAGUAAUGUUCGAUGUGUCCAUGUAAGAGGAAAAUGUACUGCGUUAAUAAGAUGGCUUGUAUACUGUACUUCAUGUCAUUUUUAUCCUUCCUGUUUUUAAUCUGAAUUGAUAAAUUACCAUCCGCACC
RNAcentral lists this long non-coding RNA (740 nucleotides) under Oncorhynchus mykiss (rainbow trout). Its description in RNAcentral is "lncRNA (ENSOMYG00000060729.1)". The record is from RNAcentral. Lineage: Eukaryota; Metazoa; Chordata; Actinopteri; Salmoniformes; Salmonidae.